UGGGUCCGUAGCUCAAUCUGGUGGAGCAAGCGCCUCUUAAGCGCGAGGCUGGGAGUUCGAGUCUCCCCGGACCCAUC
RNAcentral lists this transfer RNA (77 nucleotides) under Virus Rctr197k. RNAcentral describes it as "tRNA-Lys". It matches the Rfam family "tRNA". Rfam says of the family: Transfer RNA (tRNA) molecules are approximately 80 nucleotides in length. Their secondary structure includes four short double-helical elements and three loops (D, anti-codon, and T loops). The record is from RNAcentral. Lineage: Duplodnaviria; Heunggongvirae; Uroviricota; Caudoviricetes.